This is a long non-coding RNA of Culex quinquefasciatus (southern house mosquito), 786 nucleotides long. RefSeq lists it as uncharacterized. NCBI's taxonomy places the organism in Eukaryota, Metazoa, Arthropoda, Insecta, Diptera, Culicidae. The record is from RefSeq and is a predicted model, not a curated record. The transcript has 2 exons.
GUGAAAUAAAGUCGUCUCGCGGGAGAACUCUAGUUUGUACGAACCAAACCAAACAUGUUCAUUCUUGUACGAGACUGUUCGUCUUUGUCCGGCUCAGCCAGCUGGGCUCAGUCGGUGUAUGGAACUCGUAGCGCGAUCAGUACUUUUGCAGGCGUUCGGCAGAUAUGGUGCAGGUGUUUCCCGGAGUGGCUCAAAAUGUCGAUCUCGGACAACAUUGGCGGUGUGCUGAGCUGCUGAGAGGCUUCAAAAAGGCCAAAAUGGUGCUACCGCUGCUCCCUUGUCGGCUGGUUGAGGAGGGAUAAUCGCCGGCCCGGAAUCUUUUGACGAAACCCACGACUCCCACGCACUCGAAGCUCCUCUCUGCCGGAAAUAAUACAGUUCAAAAAAGAAGAAGAAAUCCAUUCGAGGAUAAAGGCUAAGCUGCUCCCCAACUCCACGCACCCCCUCACGGUUCAUGAUUUGGGGGACACAAAAGAAGACUGUGGGGACAAAUCCGGAACAAAGAAGAAAAAGAAGCAAGCUAAGAAGACAAAAGCGCAAAGAAGAUGGCCCUCCCAAAGGACAUUAUCGAGCUUAUGAAGAAAUCUGGCUGUUAUACGGUGACACAUCUGAUAUCGACUAUUUCCGCUCUGCUGCUGCUGCUGCUGCUCGUGACAGGACUUGCCCUUGACGAGGACCUUCCGGCACCGGAACGGCCCUCCCCGCUGGUGGCGGCGGCGCCGGCAUGUACGACGGCAAACAUGGCUUCAAGAAGCUGAUCCAAUAAAAUUAUCGCAGUGAAAUUAA